Molecule: ribosomal RNA, 253 nt
Filed under: uncultured bacterium
Lineage: Bacteria
Description: partial 16S ribosomal RNA
Rfam family: Bacterial small subunit ribosomal RNA
Source: RNAcentral
UACGGAGGGUGCGAGCGUUGUCCGGAAUCACUGGGCGUAAAGGGCGCGUAGGUGGCGCGGGCAGUCAACGGUGAAAGUUCGGGGCUCAACCCUGAAUCGGCCGUCGAUACUCCCGGGCUUGAGCACUGUAGAGGCAGAUGGAAUUCCGGGUGUAGCGGUGGAAUGCGUAGAGAUCCGGAAGAACACCGGUGGCGAAGGCGGUCUGCUGGGCAGUAGCUGACGCUGAGGAGCGAAAGCAUGGGGAGCGAACAGG